UCGCUUUGGCUGCACAUAUACUGAAGUUGGACCGAUAUGAGAAAAUUGGCAUGGUCCCGUGCAAGGAUGACACACAUAUUCGUGAAAUGUUCCAGAUUUUU
Molecule: small nuclear RNA, 101 nt
Filed under: Suricata suricatta (meerkat)
Lineage: Eukaryota; Metazoa; Chordata; Mammalia; Carnivora; Herpestidae
Source: RNAcentral